GUGUUAUUGACAAAACCAUUUUAUUGAGUACCCGCCGAUGACAUGAACUUUUACAAAGUCGUCAUCUGCUCACGUAGUAAUAUUGAUUAUUGUGCUCUUGUUUAUAUUGAAAAACCAUUUUAUUGUACUCGUGUUAUUGAUACAUCUCGCUUGAUAAUGACUAAAACUUUUGUGCACUGAACCGAAGAUAUGAUACAAAGUCGUCAUCGUCUCGCGCAGUUAUACGGCCUUCUUCGUAUUGCACUCCGCUCGUGUUAUUGACUGCAACCAUUUUAUUGAGUACUCGUGUUAUUUACAAAACCAUUUAUGGACAACAGCGGAACUAACCGUAGAUAACCGACUUUCGCCCUAUGCUCGCAAUGCAUUACAUCGAUACGUCAUAAAUCUGUCAUCAAAUGUGCUUUUCCCGACAUAUACCUACCUCUGGUCCUGACAAUGCAGCUACUGAUUGAAAAUCAGUAGAUGCAAAAAUACAAAUGUUGAAUUGUUAUUGUCAACUGUCAAGUUCAGUUAUUUUUAGACAAUAUGGUGUUAGCCAAUGAGAAUGCAAAAUUGACCGACCCAGACCAGGAAUUUCUCGUCUCUCCCCUCGUCCUCACAUGAAAGCCCUGGGAACGAGGUUGUAAAGACCUUAAAUACGAGAUAAAAGCAACCUACUAUUUUAA
This is a non-coding RNA of Paramuricea clavata, 665 nucleotides long. The record is from the annotation of a GenBank genome assembly. Lineage: Eukaryota; Metazoa; Cnidaria; Anthozoa; Malacalcyonacea; Plexauridae.